ACGCUCGACACCUACGGGAGGCAGCAGUGGGGAAUAUUGCACAAUGGGGGAAACCCUGAUGCAGCGACGCCGCGUGGAGGAAGAAGGUCUUCGGAUUGUAAACUCCUGUUGUUGGGGAAAAAGAGGAUGGUACCCAACAAGGAAGUGACGGCUAACUACGUGCUCGCAGCCGCGGUAAUCUGAGCGGGCUGGCAAGC
RNAcentral lists this ribosomal RNA (197 nucleotides) under uncultured bacterium. Its description in RNAcentral is "partial 16S ribosomal RNA". It matches the Rfam family "Bacterial small subunit ribosomal RNA", at positions 328 to 539 of the family's 1533-position model. The record is from RNAcentral.